Molecule: transfer RNA, 76 nt
Filed under: Dehalococcoidia bacterium
Lineage: Bacteria; Bacillati; Chloroflexota; Dehalococcoidia
Description: tRNA-Gly
Rfam family: tRNA
About the family: Transfer RNA (tRNA) molecules are approximately 80 nucleotides in length.
Source: RNAcentral
GCGGGGGUAGCUCAGCUGGCAGAGCAUUUGCUUCCCAAGCAGAGGGUCGCGGGUUCGAAUCCCGUCCCCCGCUCCA